AUCAGUGAUAAGCGGAGGUGAGGGUCCCCAUCCUCGCCUGGGUCAGCUUUUACCUGAGUAACCCCUCCUCACCCACCUACCCUGGGCACAGGGGCCAGUACCAACUUCAUUUGGAAAACGCAGAGGAGGCUCACAAACACUGCCUGCCUCCCCAGUAGGGAUGAUCAAGCGUUUCCUGGAGGACACCACGGAUGAUGGAGAACUGAGCAAGUUCGUGAAGGAUUUCUCAGGAAAUGAGAGCUGCCACCCACCAGAGGCUAAGACCCGGGCAUCCAGGCCCCAAGUCCCGGAGCCAAGGCCCCAGGCCCCGGACCUCUAUGAUGAUGACCUGGAGUUCAGACCCCCCUCGUGGCCCCAGUCCUCUGACAACCAGCAGUACUUCUGUGCCCCAGCCCCUCUCAGCCCAUCUGCCAGGCCCCGCAGCCCAUGGGGCAAGCUUGAUCCCUAUGAUUCCUCUGAGGUAGAGCCUCCAGCCCUGCCUUUGCCUUUCAGUGGGCUGCUGCAGGAAGACCAGGGGGCAGGGAGCAGAGUGUGAGUGUGUGUGUG
This 546-nucleotide small RNA is filed under the name Pongo abelii (Sumatran orangutan). Its description in RNAcentral is "retained intron". The record is from RNAcentral. Lineage: Eukaryota; Metazoa; Chordata; Mammalia; Primates; Hominidae.